Molecule: ribosomal RNA, 423 nt
Filed under: uncultured bacterium
Lineage: Bacteria
Description: bacterial SSU rRNA
Rfam family: Bacterial small subunit ribosomal RNA
Source: RNAcentral
CAUGCAAGUCGUACGAGAAAUUCUGGGCAACUGGGAGAGUAAAGUGGCGCACGGGUGAGUAACGCGUGGGUAACCUGCCCUUGAAUUGGGGAUAACUCUUCGAAAGGGGAGUUAAUACCGAAUAAUAUUCCAAUUCCUUCGGGAGUUGGAAUCAAAGAUGGCCUCUGCAUGCAAGCUAUCGUUUAAGGAUGGGCCCGCGUACCAUUAGCUAGUUGGUAGGGUAAUAGCCUACCAAGGCAACGAUGGUUAGCUGGUCUAAGAGGAUGAUCAGCCACACUGGGACUGAGACACGGCCCAGACUCCUACGGGAGGCAGCAGUGGGGAAUUUUCCGCAAUGGGGGGAACCCUGACGGAGCAACGCCGCGUGCGGGAGGAAGGCCUUCGGGUUGUAAACCGCUUUUCUCUGGGAAGAAGAACUGACGG